UUCCGGUUGAUCCUGCCGGACCCGACUGCUAUUGGGGUGAGGCUAAGCCAUGCGAGUCAGCGCUUCUAACCACGAUGAGGCGCGGCAUACGGCUCAGUAACAUGUGGUCAAUCUACCCCCAGGACGGGGACACCCUCGGGAAACUGAGGCUGAUCCCAGAUAGAUAAUGGAUCCUGGAAUGGUUCUUUAUCCAAACGAUACGGGGCUCAUGUGUUUCGUGUCGCCUGAGGAUGAGACCGCACCCUAUCAGGUAGUUGGUGGGGUAACGGCCCACCAAGCCUAUAACGGGUACGGGCCCUGAGAGGGGGAGCCCGGAGAUGGGUACUGAGACAAGGACCCAGGCCCUACGGGGCGCAGCAGGCGCGAGACCUCUGCAAUGCGCGAAAGCGCGACAGGGCCACCCCGAGUGCUAGACGCUGAGUCUAGCUUUUCCUUAGUGUAGUAAGUUAGGGGAAUAAGCGGGGGGCAAGCCUGGUGUCAGCCGCCGCGGUAAUACCAGCUCCGCGAGUGGUCGGGACGAUUAUUGGGCCUAAAGCGUCCGUAGCCGGCCUAGCAAGUCUCUGGUUAAACUUCAAGGCUUAACCUUGAGAUUGCUGGAGAUACUGCUAGGCUAGGGGGCGGGAGAGGUUGAGGGUACUUCACGGGUAGGGGCGAAAUCCUAUAAUCCGUGAAGGACCACCAGUGGCGAAGGCGCUCAACUGGAACGCGCCCGACGGUGAGGGACGAAAGCCAGGGGAGCAAAGGGGAUUAGAUACCCCCGUAGUCCUGGCUGUAAACGAUGCGGGCUAGGUGUUGGGUUGGCUUCGUGCCAACCCGGUGCCGCAGUGAAGGCGAUAAGCCCGCCGCCUGGGAAGUACGGCUGCAAGGCUGAAACUUAAAGGAAUUGGCGGGGGAGCACCACAAGGGGUGAAGCCUGCGGCUUAAUUGGAGUCAACGCCGGGA
This 942-nucleotide ribosomal RNA is filed under the name uncultured bacterium. RNAcentral's name for it is "bacterial SSU rRNA". It matches the Rfam family "Archaeal small subunit ribosomal RNA", at positions 1 to 923 of the family's 1478-position model. The record is from RNAcentral.